RNAcentral lists this ribosomal RNA (384 nucleotides) under Triticum aestivum (bread wheat). RNAcentral's name for it is "partial small subunit ribosomal RNA". Lineage: Eukaryota; Viridiplantae; Streptophyta; Magnoliopsida; Poales; Poaceae. The record is from RNAcentral.
CUCACCACAAAAAGUUUUUACAUUGAAAGAUUUGUCUGUGUAUUAUGUGAUGAUGAGCCUAAUGAGUACAUGAAACAUCUUUUCUUUUCAUGUGACUUCAGUCAAAAUUUUUGGUUAUCAAUUGGUUUUCAAUGGAACACUGAUUUGAGCUAAAAUGAGAUGCUUAUUGAGGCAAGAAACAGAACUCAGAUUCAGCCCUUUAAAGAAUGCCUAAUUGCUGGUUGUUGGACCAUCUGGAAACAUAGAAAUGGCAUCAUAUUUGACAACAAAGGAAGGGAUUUAAGCUACUGUAUCUCCUGCUUCAAGGACCAUUUUGGCACCAUCAUCAAAAGAGUCAGACCUAGUUUAAAGGAGGGAAUGCAAAACUGGUUGGAUUAUUUGUAA